RNAcentral lists this ribosomal RNA (490 nucleotides) under uncultured bacterium. RNAcentral's name for it is "partial 16S ribosomal RNA". It matches the Rfam family "Bacterial small subunit ribosomal RNA", at positions 30 to 507 of the family's 1533-position model. The record is from RNAcentral.
AUUGAACGCUGGCGGCAGGCCUAACACAUGCAAGUCGAACGGUAACAGGAAGCAGCUUGCUGCUUUGCUGACGAGUGGCGGACGGGUGAGUAAUGUCUGGGAAACUUCCUGAUGGAGGGGGAUAACUACUGGAAACGGUAGCUACUACCGCAUAAUGUCGCAAGACCAAAGAGGGGGACCUUCGGGCCUCUUGCCAUCGGAUGUGCCCAGAUGGGAUUAGCUAGUAGGUGGGGUAAAGGCUCACCUAGGCGACGAUCCCUAGCUGGUCUGAGAGGAUGACCAGCCACACUGGAACUGAGACACGGUCCAGACUCCUACGGGAGGCAGCAGUGGGGAAUAUUGCACAAUGGGCGCAAGCCUGAUGCAGCCAUGCCGCGUGUAUGAAGAAGGCCUUCGGGUUGUAAAGUACUUUCAGCGGGGAGGAAGGGAGUAAAGUUAAUACCUUGGCUCAUUGACGUUACCCGCAGAAGAAGCACCGGCUAACUCCGUG